UACAGAGGGUGCGAGCGUUGUCCGGAAUCACUGGGCGUAAAGGGCGCGUAGGUGGUGGCUUAAGCGUGCGGUGAAAGCUCGGAGCUCAACUCCGAGUCGGCCGUGCGAACUGGGCUCACUGGAGCAUAGUAGAGGCAGGUGGAAUUCCGGGUGUAGCGGUGGAAUGCGUAGAGAUCCGGAAGAACACCGGUGGCGAAGGCGGCCUGCUGGGCUAUGGCUGACACUGAGGCGCGAGAGCGUGGGGAGCAGACAGG
Molecule: ribosomal RNA, 254 nt
Filed under: uncultured bacterium
Lineage: Bacteria
Description: partial 16S ribosomal RNA
Rfam family: Bacterial small subunit ribosomal RNA
Source: RNAcentral